CCUGACUGCUAUCGGAUUGAUACUAACCCAUGCGAGUCUUUGCAGUAAUGCAAGGCAUACGGCUCAGUAACACGUAGUCAACUUACCCUAUGGACGAGGAUAAUCUCGGGAAAUUGAGCAUAAUACUCGAUAGAUCAUAAUGCCUGGAAUGGUUUAUGGUUGAAAUGAUUCGUCGCCAUAGGAUGGGACUGCGGCCUAUCAGCUUGUUGGUGAGGUAAUGGCCACCAAGGCGAUUACAGGUACGGGCUCUGAGAGGAGAAGCCCGGAGAUGGGUACUGAGACAAGGACCCAGGCCCUAUGGGGCGCAGCAGGCGAGAAAACUUUGCAAUGUGCGAAAGCACGACAAGGUUAAUCCGAGUGAUUUCUGCUAAAGAAAUCUUUUGCAAGUCAUAAAACCACUAGUGAAUAAGGGGUGGGCAAGUUCUGGUGUCAGCCGCCGCGGUAAAACCAGCACCUCAAGUGGUCAGGAGGAUUAUUGGGCCUAAAGCAUCCGUAGCCGGCUCUGUAAGUUUUCGGUUAAAUCCAUGUGCUCAACGCAUGGGCUGCCGAAAAUACUGCAUAGCUAGGGAGUGGGAGAGGUAGACGGUACUCGGUAGGAAGGGGUAAAAUCCUUUGAUCUAUCGAUGACCACCUGUGGCGAAGGCGGUCUACCAGAACACGUUCGACGGUGGGGGAUGAAAGCUGGGGGAGCAAACCGGAUUAGAUACCCGGGUAGUCCCAGCUGUAAACGAUGCAGACUCGAUGAUGCAUUGGCAUAUAGCCAGUGCAGUGUCGCAGGGAAGCCGUUAAGUCUGCCGCCUGGGAAGUACGUACGCAAGUAUGAAACUUAAAGGAAUUGGCGGGGGAGCACCACAAGGGGUGAAGCCUGCGGUUC
Molecule: ribosomal RNA, 874 nt
Filed under: uncultured archaeon
Lineage: Archaea
Description: bacterial SSU rRNA
Rfam family: Archaeal small subunit ribosomal RNA
Source: RNAcentral